Molecule: ribosomal RNA, 1061 nt
Filed under: uncultured bacterium
Lineage: Bacteria
Description: bacterial SSU rRNA
Rfam family: Bacterial small subunit ribosomal RNA
Source: RNAcentral
AGAGUUUGAUCCUGGCUCAGGACGAACGCUGGCGGCGCGCCUAAUGCAUGCAAGUCGAGCGACGCAUUCCUUAGCCCGUAAGGGCGGGUAUGACGGAGCGGCGAACGGGUGCGUAACACGUGACUAAUCUGCCCCGAAGACCGGGAUAGCCCGGGGAAACCCGGAUUAAUACCGGAUGACCUCACCGCAACUCAUGUUGUGGUGAGCAAAGGUUCAGGCGCUUCGGGAUGAGGUCGCGGCCCAUCAGCUAGUUGGUGAGGUAAUGGCUCACCAAGGCAACGACGGGUAGCUGGUCUGAGAGGACGAUCAGCCACACUGGAACUGAGAUACGGUCCAGACUCCUACGGGAGGCAGCAGCAGGGAAUCUUGCGCAAUGGGCGAAAGCCUGACGCAGCGACGCCGCGUGGGGGAUGAAGGCCUUAGGGUUGUAAACCCCUUUCACGAGGGAAGAAACUGACGGUACCUCGAGAAGAAGCCCCGGCCAACUACGUGCCAGCAGCCGCGGUAAUACGUAGGGGGCGAGCGUUGUCCGGAUUUAUUGGGCGUAAAGGGCUCGUAGGCGGCUUGACAAGUCGGCCGUGAAAACCCAGGGCUCAACCCUGGGACGCCGGUCGAUACUGUCAUGGCUAGGGUCCGGUAGAGGGGAAUGGAAUUCCCGGUGUAGCGGUGAAAUGCGCAGAUAUCGGGAGGAACACCAGUAGCGAAGGCGGUUCCCUGGGCCGGUACCGACGCUGAGGAGCGAAAGCGUGGGUAGCAAACAGGAUUAGAUACCCAGGUAGUCCACGCCCUAAACGAUGGAUACUAGGUAUGGGGGGUAUUGACCCCCUCCGUGCCGUAGCUAACGCGUUAAGUAUCCCGCCUGGGGACUACGGCCGCAAGGCUAAAACUCAAAGGAAUUGACGGGGGCCCGCACAAGCGGUGGAGCGUGUGGUUUAAUUCGAUGCUAAGCGAAGAACCUUACCUGGGCUUGACAUGUUGGUAGUAGCGCGCCGAAAGGCGUCGCGAUCCCGGGGUAACUCGGGAAGCCUUCACAGGUGCUGCAUGGCUGUCGUCAGCUCGUG